CCCUUAGAUGUUCUGGGCCGCACGCGCGCUACACUGAUGCAUUCAACGAGUUUUUCCUUGGCCGAGAGGCCUGGGCAAUCUUUUAAACGUGCAUCGCGAUAGGGAUAGAUUAUUGCAAUUAUUAAUCUUGAACGAGGAAUUCCUAGUAAACGCAGAUCAUCAAUCUGCAUUGAUUACGUCCCUGCCCUUUGUACACACCGCCCGUCGCACCUACCGAUUGAAUGGUCCGGUGAAGCCUCGGGAUUGUGGCGAGUUCCCUUUAUUGGGAGUUUGUCGCGAGAACUUGUCUAAACCUUAUCAUUUAGAGGAAGGUGAAGUCGUAACA
This 325-nucleotide ribosomal RNA is filed under the name uncultured eukaryote. RNAcentral describes it as "partial 18S ribosomal RNA". It matches the Rfam family "Eukaryotic small subunit ribosomal RNA", at positions 1470 to 1796 of the family's 1831-position model. The record is from RNAcentral.